GACCUCGGAUCAGGUAGGAAUACCCGCUGAACUUAAGCAUAUCAAAAGGCCGGAGGAA
This 58-nucleotide ribosomal RNA is filed under the name Colletotrichum pisi. RNAcentral describes it as "partial 28S ribosomal RNA". Lineage: Eukaryota; Fungi; Ascomycota; Sordariomycetes; Glomerellales; Glomerellaceae. The record is from RNAcentral.